UUCAAUGUUAUCUUGCUUUUUACAGCUUA
Molecule: small RNA, 29 nt
Filed under: Bombyx mori (domestic silkworm)
Lineage: Eukaryota; Metazoa; Arthropoda; Insecta; Lepidoptera; Bombycidae
Description: ovarian small RNA-36987
Source: RNAcentral